GGCCAUCGCUUUGUCAAGACUACUUCUAGUGCCCAGCACUGCUCUCUCCAUGGAAGCUUGUCUGUUACGGCUUUGGCAGAUUGACUCCGCCCGCUGCCUUGGUUUCAUUCUGAAGUUCAGGGUUAGACAUGCUUUCGUUCUGAAAGGAUUGUUGUAUAGGGCCGGCUGUGUUUUGUUUUGAGUUGAGUGCUGCUCCCGCCACAUCGGUGUCCUUAUAGUUGCACUCUUAGUUACAUUUCACACAUUU
This 247-nucleotide small nucleolar RNA is filed under the name Uncinocarpus reesii 1704. RNAcentral describes it as "Small nucleolar RNA snR191". It matches the Rfam family "Small nucleolar RNA snR191". The record is from Rfam by way of RNAcentral. Lineage: Eukaryota; Fungi; Ascomycota; Eurotiomycetes; Onygenales; Onygenaceae.